This 922-nucleotide ribosomal RNA is filed under the name uncultured bacterium. RNAcentral describes it as "bacterial SSU rRNA". It matches the Rfam family "Bacterial small subunit ribosomal RNA", at positions 60 to 950 of the family's 1533-position model. The record is from RNAcentral.
AGUCUGCCUUGAAGAUCGGAGUGCUUGCACUCUGUGAAACAAGAUACAGGCUAGCGGCGGACGGGUGAGUAACACGUGGGUAACCUGCCCAAGAGAUCGGGAUAACACCUGGAAACAGAUGCUAAUACCGGAUAACAACAGAUGAUGCCUAUCAACUGUUUAAAAGAUGGUUCUGCUAUCACUCUUGGAUGGACCUGCGGUGCAUUAGCUAGUUGGUAGGGUAACGGCCUACCAAGGCGAUGAUGCAUAGCCGAGUUGAGAGACUGAUCGGCCACAUUGGGACUGAGACACGGCCCAAACUCCUACGGGAGGCAGCAGUAGGGAAUCUUCCACAAUGGACGCAAGUCUGAUGGAGCAACGCCGCGUGAGUGAAGAAGGGUUUCGGCUCGUAAAGCUCUGUUGUUGGUGAAGAAGGACAGGGGUAGUAACUGACCUUUGUUUGACGGUAAUCAAUUAGAAAGUCACGGCUAACUACGUGCCAGCAGCCGCGGUAAUACGUAGGUGGCAAGCGUUGUCCGGAUUUAUUGGGCGUAAAGCGAGUGCAGGCGGCUCGAUAAGUCUGAUGUGAAAGCCUUCGGCUCAACCGGAGAAUUGCAUCAGAAACUGUCGAGCUUGAGUACAGAAGAGGAGAGUGGAACUCCAUGUGUAGCGGUGAAAUGCGUAGAUAUAUGGAAGAACACCGGUGGCGAAGGCGGCUCUCUGGUCUGUUACUGACGCUGAGGCUCGAAAGCAUGGGUAGCGAACAGGAUUAGAUACCCUGGUAGUCCAUGCCGUAAACGAUGAGUGCUAAAUGUUGGGAGGUUUCCGCCUCUCAGUGCUGCAGCUAACGCAUUAAGCACUCCGCCUGGGGAGUACGACCGCAAGGUUGAAACUCAAAGGAAUUGACGGGGGCCCGCACAAGCGGUGGAGCAUGUGGUUUAAU